This 250-nucleotide long non-coding RNA is filed under the name Mytilus galloprovincialis (Mediterranean mussel). The record is from RNAcentral. Lineage: Eukaryota; Metazoa; Mollusca; Bivalvia; Mytilida; Mytilidae.
AUAGAUAUAGGAAGAUGUGGUGUGAGUGCCAAUGAGACAACUCUCCAUCCAAAUAACAAUUUAUAAAAGUAAACCAUUAAUGUCAAUGUACGGCCUUCAACACGGAGCCUUGGCUCACACCGAACAACAACCUAUAAAGGGCCCCAAAAUUACUAGUGUAAAACCAUUCAAACGGGAAAACCAACGGUCUAAUCUAUAUAAAAAAAUGAGAAAAGAGAAGCACGUAUAAAUUACAUAAACAAACGACAAC